GUUUCCCGUCAGCCAGUCGAUUGCCAUCUGCUCCACGUCUGGAAAAGGAAGGAGAGAGCUAUGUGGGACAGGCCCACCCACAGGCAUCCGUUCCUCUGUACUUAAUUCCCUCACACCCCGAGGAAGCACAGAAGGAAUGAGAACUGAAGUACAGAGAGUCCAAGAGGAGGCGAAAAUAGGACCCUGGAGAUAAACCAGGAGACAGAGAAAGAGGAACUUCUGAUGGUACAUGGCAGCUACCACAGUCAUUCUAAGCCAUGAAGGGCCACAGGAGGAGGCAGGUAGCCAGCCGUCUUUUUACUGCCUGCCUCUGGCUGAAGCUCGGCCCACACUAUCAGGACUCAGCCCUGUAGGGAUGACUCUGCCACACAGCUACAGGCUUCCCUGAGUCACUGCCCAGCCCUAGGACUGGCAACACCCUGGCCCUGCUCACCCAUCCACCCUUGGCAAGAGGGAAAGAGGAAGAAGCCUGCAGAGAGCUGGUGCCCUGCUUCCAGAUGCUGCUCCAUUCUCAGGCCAAGCCUCAAGAUGGGGGGAACCUGAGUGGGAGCCUCUCUCCUGGCUUGCGUUCCCUCCCACUUCUGGGAAAGCAGGGCAGUGACAGUCCCUGUUCUCAUGUGUCUGCCCUUGGCUGGGCUCCCCUCACCUCCCCAAAGACCAGGCAGGGUCCCAUUCAGCAGACCUGACUGUAAGGAAUUGGCAAGAAAUGACGUCCCUAGCCAGCCUGGCCUCCCCUUUGGUAUUUUUGCAGCUGGAGAUUAUUAGUCUCAAGCAAAACUCCUUUGUUAUCCAAGCCCACUCCACCACAUUAUUUUCCUCUCUCCUAAAGUUCAGCUUCCUCUGUUCCUCCCCACACCCCAUCCCCAACCACAGGCCACUACUCUAUAAAGCUGUGUUGAGAGACUUGGACAUACUGAGAAGGGAUAUCGUUCACCAUUGCCUAUCAGUCUCUGAGAUACGGGCCUUGGUCUUAUAGCCUGGGGUUCAGGUGGAGCCCUGGGCUUUUGCCUACAGGAACUGCAUAUUCCUGCUCCACAAACCUAGACUGGCUAUGGGCAUAACUGGCAUGACUGGAAAGCUGGGCCUGAUGACAAGAUUUAUAUGUAACGCCAGCACUUAAGAGGUGGGGGAAGAGGGUCAGGAGUUUAAGGCCAACCUUGACUACACACAGUGAGUUUCAAGGCCAGCUGGGGUGACUUGAAUUUUUGUCUCGAGGCUGGAGAGAUGGCUCAGUAGUUAAGAACACCUGCUGCUCUUCCAGGGGACCUGGGUGUAGCUCUUGGCACCUACAUCAGGUGGCUCACAAUUGCAUGUACCUCCAGCUCCAUGGCAUCUGCACACACACGAUGCACAUAAACUCACACAGGUGCGUGUAUAGGCACAUGAUUUUAAAAUGAACAAACAUAUCUAAAUCAAACAAACAACAAACAAAAUACAUCCGCCCAACCAAACUAAACCUAAAUAAAACAAUACAGCAAAACCCCUGAAGGGUAGAGGUUCCCUCCGUGCCCCCGCACUCCCAGGGCUGACUUGCCCUCCAGAGGAGCUCUGGUCAAAGGUUCUAAGCCCUAAAACAGGAGCAGCUCUGAUAAGCCCAAGGAGGAGGAAUGUGGUGGUGGUCUGGUGGUAGAGUGGCGGGGCCUCUAGCAGAGCGGGGGAGGGGUCUGAGAAGGAUAAAUGAGUCAAAAGGUUAAGACCACAGCCCGAUGGCGUCCUCAAAAAGGACUUUCAGUUCUAGGCCCUAGAAUAGACCUGGCGAGUGUUUACAAGUGCUGAGCUCUGCUUGCAGCCCCAGUCUCAUCAUGCUGCGCACACAUCCAUCUCCGGUCCUUCUCACCUUCUCCAUCAUCCACAUUGCUCAAGAGAAAUUUCUUAAGUAGUGGGCUGCUUUCCCAGAAACACAAGCAGACUCCCAAGAUCCUAGGUUCAGUUACAUGGUUCCGGUCACUUUCUGUAAACUCAGGAGAUCUGGGUGCAGGAAGGGAGUCUCUAUAUCUUUUUUUGUUUUGUUUUGUUUUGUUUUGUUUGUUUUGUUUUUUGUUUUGUUUUGUUUUGUUUUUGAGACAGGGUUUCUCUGUGUAGCCCUGGCUGUCCUGGAACUCGCUGUGUAGACCAGGCUGGCCCCUUGAACUCAGAAAUCUGCCCAGCACUGGGAUUAAAGGCGUGCGCCAUGACGACCGGCAAGUCUCUAGAUACAUCAACACACCCAAAGAUUGUAGAACACGCACCACGUCCCUUGAAGACGAAAGAACUCCAUUUCUACAUUAGCUACAUCCCCAGGGAACACACUUGGUUCUGGUCCUUAUUUCUUCCAUGCUACUUCCAAUGCUGUGCUCUGCCCUGGGUCCAGCUGGGUUCUGAGCACUGGUAAACCAUCAGUAAAUGGGAUGGUACAUUUGGGGCAUGUAGCCCAUGACCACUCCAUACGUGUCACCUCUUCCCGAACCCCAGUCUUUCCUACCUUCCCUUUCGACCUGUGACCUCCCGAGUUACGGUGGCCAACGGGGUGGGCGUGGGCACUGAAACUGGUGUUCUUAUUUCACACUGACUCUGUUGAGAGACUCUCCCCACAGAACGGAGCUUCCCUCAAUGGAAGGAGUUCCCCCUACAUGGAGGAACUUCCCCCUAUGGAAAGGAGCUUUGCCUGCACAAAGGAGCUCUCUGUGCUGGAACUUGACCGACUGAAAGGGGCCUCUCCGUGUUACAGGCUCCAGUGACCCCAGGAGCUCCUGGCGUUAUGAAUUCCACCUGACUGCAGAUGCCGCAGGUCAGGCAUUAUCUUUACAUUUCCUCCCCGGUGCCAGACGCACACUACGCACACGUAUUGAUUGGCUUAACAAAUAUUUACUGAAUACCGAAUCCUCCCUCUGUUGUCCUGGAGCCAGGGCAUCCUUCCCCCUUCUCUUCCCUGGCCUUGGAAUGCCGAGGACAUUGGCAGAGGACAGUUUGCAGUCCCACUGAGGGAUCUGGCUAGUGAGGCGAGCCUGGCAGGUUUGACUAAAUAACACGGCCUCGUGUUCCUGUUUGCUACCAAAUCCUGACUUCAGCUCUUGCUCAUUCUACCAGCAAGUCCAGAAGUUAUCAUAACUUCUUCCCUGACUACCCUUCCUGCCCCUGCUUAUACACCCAGCCAGAAUUCCCAUGGAUGAAAUCCUGGUUUCUGCUCUGCCUGACUUACGGUCUCUGCAUGAUUGAGAAAUUCUCACUGGGCUCUGAAAUGUCUGUCUUGCUUAAGUUACUUCCUCUGGAUUGAAAACAGGGAGGACAGAGCUGGGGUAGGCUGGCUUGGGAGGCAACUUCAAGGAGACAGCGGGGGAGGAGAGGACAAGGCUGGAUCUGGGCCCGGAGACACAGAGCUGGUGCGGGCCAGGAGGGGAGAAGCAAGAAAGUGGUGUUAGUGACUAGGAAACCGAAAGGGGAUGAGAAGCCAAAGAGCUAGGGUGCAGGGGUCCUGGGCCAGCGGAUAGAACGGCCAGUCCUCCACAGUAUCAGGACACCCCGUGGGAGUCAGAAAGGCGAAAGGAGGGAGGUGCCUUUCGUGUGUGAACUCUGGAACAGUUCCGUUUGGGUGUUUUGUGUAGUUUUCUUGUUCGGAUAGAGUACCGCCGUGUAACUCAGGCUGGCCUGGAGUGGACUAACAGUCUUGCUACCUCUGCCUCCCAUGUUGGGGCUGCAGGGAUGAGCCACGAAGCUCGGCUUCUGAAGUGUUCUAUACACAGCAUGAGGCAGAGAAAGGGGAAAGGACACACACACCCCCACACCCCUUUCAGUUGAUCGCAGACACAGAGGGUCUUCUAUUUGCCUGCCCUCUAGAAAAAGCACCACCCUAUUUCCUGUUGAGAUUUUUAAAACACAUCUACUCACUCCACCUCCCAAAAAGGUGGAGAGGAGGGAAGAGAAGCAAAGUUGGUCAACUGGGCUUGGAUGGAGACUUGUUUUGCAACCCUGGUGCCUGCAACAGACAGUCCUUUUUCUAGGUCUUCCUAGCCCAGGCAGGACGUCCCAAGAAGGAAACCCCUGACACCUGUAAACCCCUCCAGACUCCCCCGUCUCAUACAGCACAACGCAAAACAACUUCGUUAAGUGGCAUUUCCUUCCAGGCCUCUGUUUGCAGUGUCACCUUCCCAAAGCCUCAUCCUCCUUAGAAUGGCCACAUCCUCAGGCAAGGAAUGGGGACACGCCAGAGCCCUUCAGCUGAGGAAAGGAAGGGUGGGGUGAGCAGACUGAACCAUCUGUCCUGCUCGGAGCACUUAAGGGGUUAAAUGGGAGGGCCAUUUCUGGGCUCUGGGAAUAUCAGGCCUGUUGACCCUCUUGGGAUUUAGUUUCAGAACUUUAGUCUUGUGUGAAUCACUUUCAAAAUAUUUAUGUCUAUGUGUACACAGUUUAUGGUAUCAUUUAUUUACAAUUUUAUAUACCACAGAUGAAAAGCUGGUCAUGGUGGCUUACACCUACGAUCUUGACACCUGGAAGGCUGCUGAUGGAAGAGGACUACUGUGAGCUUGAGGCUAGCCUGGGCUAUAGAGUUUUAAAAAAAUUAACUAAUUAGGGAUGGAGAGGCGGUUCAGUCAGCAAAGUGUUAGGGCAUCGGUGCCAGAGGACCCGUGUUCUAUUCCCAUCAUCCACUUUAAAAAGCGAGUCGUUGCUAGACACGGUGGCGGCACACGCCUUUUUAAGCAGAGGCAGGCAGAUCUCUGUGAGUUCCAGGCCAACCAAGGCCAUACAGCAAAACUUUGUCUCUAAAAUAUAUUUAAAAGGUGAACCCAGUAGUGCAUUCUUGUAAUUCCAGUACCAGAGAGGCAGAAACAGGAGGAUACUGGGGUACUGCUGGUCAACCAGUCUACCUCAGUUGGCAAGCUCCAGGUUUAGUGAGACCUUAUCUCAAAAACUAAGGCAAGAGGGCAGGGGCGAAAGAAGGGAUCAGUGAUUCAGACACUUGCUAAUUUGCAGUAACUACACCCAGAGGGUGGUUCACAGCUAUCUAACUCCACUUCUGAGGGAUCUGCUACCCUUUUCUGGCCUCCUUGGGCACUAGGCAUGCAUAGAUACAUACAUGCAGGCAAAACAUUCAUACAUAUGUAAUAACAAUUUAAAAAUAAGGCAGAAGGGUAUGGAGGAAGACACCUGAUAUUGACUCCUGGAUUUUGCACGAAUGUGUACACACACGCCAUCUACACACAAGUACACACACAUAACGUGCACCAAGAAAACUAAUAAUGCAAUCAUAGUAUAGGAAAUUUCUAAUGAGACUAUCAGGUAAGAACAUAACCGCAAAGCUGAACUUUACAACUGGGGACUCAAGGCAGGAGGGAGCAGAAGUUGAAGGCCAGCCUUGGCUGUGUAACAAGUUAGAGGUCAACUUGGGCCGCACAGGAUCCUGCCUUAAAAAUACAAAACAAAUCCUGUUAAGAGGGCUGGUGAGUUGGCUCAGUGGGGAAACUGCUAAGCCUGAUUCCCUGAAUUAAACCCCCAGGACCCAAGCAGUGAAGGGCUCUCAUAUGUUGUCUUCUGGUUUCCACAUGCGCACCAUGAUUCAUGUGUGCACGAAUACACACACACACACAAACACACAGAGAGUAAAGAAGUUAAUAAAAUAUAAAAAAAUUAAUAACCUUUAGCAACACUUUUUUUAAACUUGUACAUGCUGAAAUGAACACUACGUCUCUGGAGAAGGGAUGACGCUUAAAAAGAGAGAAAGUACUUAUUUCCUUAUUAUUUUUCUUGAGUAAGGAUCUUGGUGUACUUUGAUGUGGGCUCUAGUGACUUCUCUGUCCUCACCUUCAACCCCAUGAGUCUCUUUUCCCUUUUCAGUCCUGGAGAUGGAACACAGCCUGCCAUGAGCCACUCUCCCAGCUCACUCCCCUUUCUUUUCUGGCCUCACCCGUUCAGGUCUCCCAGUUCAUUAGGCAGAAGAGAAGGUGGGUCUGGGCUGUAGCUGAGGUGGGAGAAGAAGACAGGCACACCAAUCUAGGCCAGUGUGGCCACGCAUGGGGCUAUGGAAUUAGCAGACUGUGCUGUCUGAGGGAGGAGGUAAUGGGCCUUGUGUGGGUGUGUGGGUGGCUGGGGAGCUCACAGGGCUCUCAGGAUGCCGAGCAGACCGGUCCCCAUGCUUCAGGACCCAUGUGAACAGGGCCCCCUUCCCAGCUUCCUUCCUUCUUUACAUUUAUUUCUGUUUGCAGAGGUCUCUCUGAGGCAGGCUUCCCCCAUCUCCCCGCACCAGUCGGAUGUCCUCACUGGCUCCCCUCUUCUCAGUCAUAAGAUACACACCCCAACCUUCUGACAACCUCCUGACCCCCUCCCCACCCUCUUCCCUACCGACUUAGGUAUGUUCCCAGGGGUCUCACAGAGGUCCCAGUCAUGGGGAAGGUUGGGAGGAUCUGGCUGCAGGAUGGAAGGCAGAAGGCAGUGGAUUUUUCCUUCAUUCUCCAGAGAACUAACUAUAGAACAGCAGCCCCUGUGCAGCACGAGAGGGGAUCUGCACCCAGCCAUGCGUGAGUCCAGCCUGUGACACCCUUCCUCACGCUUAGACAGCAAAGUUGCCUCGGAAGAGAAGAGAAGCCUGCAUGGGAAUGGCCAGCACAUCCUAAAUGCUCCAGUGGCCCGUGGUUCGUCCCUUCGUCUCAUUGACUGCCACAGACAGGAAGUAGGCUCAGGGACUUGGCACCUACCCAACAGCAGGACGUCCUUUCUGGCCAUACUCCUGAGGGUAACAAAAUCACAUGGAAGCCCAAAGCAAGCCAGGCUCAGGCUCCUCUGCCCUCUGCUACUUAACAAUGUCCGUCCUUCCCCAGCCCCCCUGCAGAUGCUUCUGUAUGGGAAAGCCCCUCUGCAUCUAAUGACACUCUGCUUUCAAAGACGGGACAGUCCCUGGUCUCUGGAGAGUGACCAUUCGUGGCCUUCUCAGUUGACACUUCUCCGCUGAGGCAUCCCUUAGCCCUGAACCAGAAAUGAAAGAGCCGGCUCAGAGUGAAAAGGAAGAAUAGCCAUCAAUCUGCUCCUGUGUGCAAGGAGCACAGACCUGGUCUCAGACUCUGCCCGUCUCCCCCGCUUCCCUGCCCUCUGAGUGACUCACGGUGCAGGCUGAGGGAGAUGUUGAUGGUAUGCUCAUCCACAAAGCCCUUCAGGCCAGGCAUCCGGGCACACUUGAGCUGUGUCUGGGCAGCACUGUCCCCAACGUGCACCCAGCAUACGGUCUCAUUGGCAUAACUGAAGUCCAUGGCCGUGGUUUGUCGGGUGCUGGUGGGUGUGAUGGUAGACACUUGGGCCCCACUCAGGUACGUAGCUAGGAUGUUCUGAGAGUUGGCAAUCAGUAGCACUGGCGGCCGAUCUACUGGCUCUGGGGAUGGGACAGAGAAAGGGCAGUUGGGACUUGUAACCGUUGAGGCGACUAUUCACUGGGGAGCCGCAUUGCAGGUCCCCGGCUCUGUGGUCACUGGCAGACCCACUCACCAUUCUUGGCCUUGCAGGAGCGGUUGUCCGGUUGCAGCAGGUAGCCUUCAACACAGCCACAUGUGAAGGAGCCAUCUGUGUUGGUGCAAAGCUGGCUGCAGGUGCCAUACACGGAACACUCGUCAAAAUCUGCCCAGAGAGAAAAGGAAGAGGAGAUGUUCAUUCUAGUGUAGCACAGGUGCCCCGAGACACCAGCAGACAACUGGCGGAAUCGAUUACAGUUCAGAAGGUGCAAACCCACUGCCCGGCAAACAGUUUUGGGAUUUUCUGGGUCAUGCGCACUGACAGUGAUUUGGAAAACAUUUCUUGGAUAACAGAUGGGGCAGGUAGAGAAUACAAUGAUGAAUUUGAAAA
This is a long non-coding RNA of Mus musculus (house mouse), 7800 nucleotides long. RefSeq annotates it as predicted gene 16217. Lineage: Eukaryota; Metazoa; Chordata; Mammalia; Rodentia; Muridae. The record is from RefSeq and is a predicted model, not a curated record. The transcript has 5 exons.